GUCAAAAGUCUUGUAAAAAAUGAAACAUGGGAAAUUGUUCAAAAGCCGAGAAAUCGAAAAGCGGUAGGAUGCCGAUAUGUAUUGACAACGAAGCUUAACGUUGACAAAACCGAGAAGAAGAAAGCACGGUUGGUAGCCAAGGGCUACAGUCAACGAUAUGGCAUCGAUUACCGAAACACUUUUUCACCUGUCGUCCGACUAGACACGGUAAGACUGCUUACAGCGCUCGCGGUUGAAUUAGACAUGGAGAUACACCAGUUGGAUAUCAAUACUGCAUAUCUGAAUGGAUAUCUUGACGAGGAAAUUUAUAUGGAAGUUCCAGAAUUGUUGACAGAGUGCUUAGGUAGAAUUAUUAAAGAAGAAAGAGACGAAAGCUUAAAAGAGCAGGCUCGUAAGAUGUUAAAUGAUCUGAAGACAGGUGGAGAUGUAUGUCGAUUGAAGAAAUCACUGUAUGGCUUGAAACAAGCUGGACGUCAAUGGAACAAAAGACUUGACAAUAAAUUGAAGUCAAUGCAUUUUAAACAGUCUUUGAAGGAACCGUGUCUCUACUAUUUGGACGGUAACUCCAUUGAUACGUCUAUAUACUUAGCGGUUUAUGUUGAUGAUUUACUGAUAGUUUCACGCAAUAAAGGUCUCAUACAAUCUUUCAAAGAUGAACUUUCCAAAGAGUUUGAUUUAAAAGACUAUGGACUGGCGAAAUAUAUUUUAGGCAUUGACAUUGUCAAAAAUGAGUAUGCCACGAAACUGUCACAACAAAAAUAUAUUAAUGAUUUGAUGAUAAAAUUCGGCAUGGAGAAUUGUAAAGAAACAGUGACCACGCCGAUGGAGCAGGAACUCGUCCGGAUAUCACACACGCCGUGACAAGAUUAGCAGCGUUUUGUGAUAAUCCUGGACAGAUACAGUGGAAUGCGGUGAAAAGAUUACUUCGUUAUCUUAAGAGGACAGCCGAUUAUGGACUGAUUUAUCGAAAAACAG
This is a long non-coding RNA of Pieris napi, 975 nucleotides long. RefSeq lists it as uncharacterized. The transcript has 2 exons. The record is from RefSeq and is a predicted model, not a curated record. Lineage: Eukaryota; Metazoa; Arthropoda; Insecta; Lepidoptera; Pieridae.